This 328-nucleotide ribosomal RNA is filed under the name uncultured eukaryote. RNAcentral's name for it is "partial 18S ribosomal RNA". It matches the Rfam family "Eukaryotic small subunit ribosomal RNA", at positions 1470 to 1796 of the family's 1831-position model. The record is from RNAcentral.
CCCUUAGAUGUUCGGGGCCGCACGCGCGCUACACUGAAGGAAUCAGCACGUCUUUCUCCUUGUCCGAAAGGACUGGGUAACCCGCUGAACCUCCUUCGUGCUAGGGAUUGGGGCUUGUAAUUCUUCCCCAUGAACGAGGAAUUCCCAGUAAGCGCGAGUCAUAAGCUCGCGUUGAUUACGUCCCUGCCCUUUGUACACACCGCCCGUCGCACCUACCGAUUGGAUGGUCCGGUGAAGCCUCGGGAUUGUGGUUCUUGCCGCUUUAUUGUGGCGUGACCGCGAGAACUUGUCUAAACCUUAUCAUCUAGAGGAAGGUGAAGUCGUAACA